This 148-nucleotide non-coding RNA is filed under the name Gorilla gorilla gorilla (western lowland gorilla). The record is from Rfam by way of RNAcentral. Lineage: Eukaryota; Metazoa; Chordata; Mammalia; Primates; Hominidae.
GCCGGGUGUGGUGGUGCACGCCUGUAGUCCCAGCUACUCAGGAGGCUGAGGCAGGAGGAUUACUUGAAACCAGGAGUUCGAGGCUGCAGUGAGCCGUGAUUGUGCCACUGCAUUCCAGCCUGGGCAACAGAGUGAGACAUUGUCUUUA